RNAcentral lists this ribosomal RNA (1472 nucleotides) under metagenome. RNAcentral describes it as "bacterial SSU rRNA". It matches the Rfam family "Bacterial small subunit ribosomal RNA". The record is from RNAcentral.
GCAAGUCGAACGGUAACAGGAAGAAGCUUGCUUCUUUGCUGACGAGUGGCGGACGGGUGAGUAAUGUCUGGGAAACUGCCUGAUGGAGGGGGAUAACUACUGGAAACGGUAGCUAAUACCGCAUAACGUCGCAAGACCAAAGAGGGGGACCUUCGGGCCUCUUGCCAUCGGAUGUGCCCAGAUGGGAUUAGCUAGUAGGUGGGGUAACGGCUCACCUAGGCGACGAUCCCUAGCUGGUCUGAGAGGAUGACCAGCCACACUGGAACUGAGACACGGUCCAGACUCCUACGGGAGGCAGCAGUGGGGAAUAUUGCACAAUGGCGCAAGCCUGAUGCAGCCAUGCCGCGUGUAUGAAGAAGGCCUUCGGGUUGUAAAGUACUUUCAGCGGGGAGGAAGGGAGUAAAGUUAAUACCUUUGCUCAUUGACGUUACCCGCAGAAGAAGCACCGGCUAACUCCGUGCCAGCAGCCGCGGUAAUACGGAGGGUGCAAGCGUUAAUCGGAAUUACUGGGCGUAAAGCGCACGCAGGCGGUUUGUUAAGUCAGAUGUGAAAUCCCCGGGCUCAACCUGGGAACUGCAUCUGAUACUGGCAAGCUUGAGUCUCGUAGAGGGGGGUAGAAUUCCAGGUGUAGCGGUGAAAUGCGUAGAGAUCUGGAGGAAUACCGGUGGCGAAGGCGGCCCCCUGGACGAAGACUGACGCUCAGGUGCGAAAGCGUGGGGAGCAAACAGGACUAGAUACCCUGGUAGUCCACGCCGUAAACGAUGUCGACUUGGAGGUUGUGCCCUUGAGGCGUGGCUUCCGGAGCUAACGCGUUAAGUCGACCGCCUGGGGAGUACGGCCGCAAGGUUAAAACUCAAAUGAAUUGACGGGGGCCCGCACAAGCGGUGGAGCAUGUGGUUUAAUUCGAUGCAACGCGAAGAACCUUACCUGGUCUUGACAUCCACGGAAGUUUUCAGAGAUGAGAAUGUGCCUUCGGGAACCGUGAGACAGGUGCUGCAUGGCUGUCGUCAGCUCGUGUUGUGAGAUGUUGGGUUAAGUCCCGCAACGAGCGCAACCCUUAUCCUUUGUUGCCAGCGGUCCGGCCGGGAACUCAAAGGAGACUGCCAGUGAUAAACUGGAGGAAGGUGGGGAUGACGUCGAGUCAUCAUGGCCCUUACGACCAGGGCUACACACGUGCUACAAUGGCGCAUACAAAGAGAAGCGACCUCGCGAGAGCAAGCGGACCUCAUAAAGUGCGUCGUAGUCCGGAUUGGAGUCUGCAACUCGACUCCAUGAAGUCGGAAUCGUUAGUAAUCGUGGAUCAGAAUGCCACGGUGAAUACGUUCCCGGGCCUUGUACACACCGCCCGUCACACCAUGGGAGUGGGUUGCAAAAGAAGUAGGUAGCUUAACCUUCGGGAGGGCGCUUACCACUUUGUGAUUCAUGACUGGGGUGAAGUCGUAACAAGGUAACCGUAGGGGAACCUGCGGUUG